AUGGUGAACAUCUCCUCCACCUGCGGGCUCAUGGCCAACUCACACAUGUCAGUGUACUCGGCGAGCAAGGCGGCCGUGAACCAGCUUACCCGGAGCCUCGCUGUGGAGUGGGCGGGCGACGGCAUCCGCGUCAACUGCGUGUCGCCGGGGGGCACCCGGACGGAGCUCGCCAAUAGCAGCGGCAUACAGCUUCACCCGGAGACAGCGCAGAAGAUGGGGGGGCGGAGAGCGCGCGCAUCCCAUUGGGCCGCAUGGGCGAGCCCGAGGAGAUCGCGUCGCUCGUCGUGUUCCUUUGCAUGCUGGCAGCGUCCUACAUCACGGGGCAGGUCGUGUGCGUCGACGGUGGCCGCACCAUAG
This 357-nucleotide ribosomal RNA is filed under the name Triticum aestivum (bread wheat). RNAcentral describes it as "partial small subunit ribosomal RNA". Lineage: Eukaryota; Viridiplantae; Streptophyta; Magnoliopsida; Poales; Poaceae. The record is from RNAcentral.